UACGAAGGGUGCAAGCGUUACUCGGAAUUACUGGGCGUAAAGCGUGCGUAGGUGGUGAGUUAAGUCUGAUGUGAAAUCCCCGGGCUCAACCUGGGAAUGGCAUUGGAUACUGGCUCGCUAGAGUGCGGUAGAGGGUGGUGGAAUUCCCGGUGUAGCAGUGAAAUGCGUAGAGAUCGGGAGGAACAUCUGUGGCGAAGGCGGCUCACUGGCCCGAUACUGACGCUGAGGUGCGAAAGCGUGGGGAGCAAACAGG
This 253-nucleotide ribosomal RNA is filed under the name uncultured bacterium. Its description in RNAcentral is "partial 16S ribosomal RNA". It matches the Rfam family "Bacterial small subunit ribosomal RNA", at positions 524 to 776 of the family's 1533-position model. The record is from RNAcentral.